Long non-coding RNA from Salarias fasciatus (jewelled blenny), 272 nucleotides. RefSeq lists it as uncharacterized. The record is from RefSeq and is a predicted model, not a curated record. The transcript is spliced from 3 exons. NCBI's taxonomy places the organism in Eukaryota, Metazoa, Chordata, Actinopteri, Blenniiformes, Blenniidae.
GAAAGUUGCUUUUCAGAGGCGUUCCGGGGCGUUCCAGUAGAAGAGGCCAGGAUAUUUCUUACCGGCACGGCGCUCCGAUCCAGGUGCCACCAUGAUGAAGGGGGAGGAAGAGGAGCGGCCCCUCUCCACAGCAGCCGCCUGAAGGAGGUUGUCAUCUGCCGCAGCAUCGGGACGUCCUGUUGUUGUUGUUCCCUCUUUCUUUAGCGCCGAGGAGCGAGGAACUCCGGAGAAAGAGGACGAGCAGGCACUGCAGGAGACGCUGUGAGAGCCGG